UACAGAGGGGGCAAGCGUUGCUCGGAAUUACUGGGCGUAAAGGGCGCGUAGGCGGGAUGGCAAGUCGGUCGUGAAAUCCCUCGGCUCAACUGAGGAACGUCGAUCGAUACUGCCGUUCUUGAGGAUUGCAGAGGAGACUGGAAUUCCCGGUGUAGCGGUGAAAUGUGUAGAGAUCGGGAGGAACACCGGUGGCGAAGGCGGGUCUCUGGGCAAUUCCUGACGCUGAGGCGCGAAAGCGUGGGGAGCAAACGGG
Molecule: ribosomal RNA, 253 nt
Filed under: uncultured bacterium
Lineage: Bacteria
Description: partial 16S ribosomal RNA
Rfam family: Bacterial small subunit ribosomal RNA
Source: RNAcentral